This 55-nucleotide transfer RNA is filed under the name Bos taurus (domestic cattle). It matches the Rfam family "tRNA", at positions 8 to 63 of the family's 71-position model. From Rfam's summary of the family: Transfer RNA (tRNA) molecules are approximately 80 nucleotides in length. Their secondary structure includes four short double-helical elements and three loops (D, anti-codon, and T loops). RNAcentral also lists the same sequence under 3 other names. The record is from Rfam by way of RNAcentral. Lineage: Eukaryota; Metazoa; Chordata; Mammalia; Artiodactyla; Bovidae.
UAGCUAAGGGUAAAGUAUCUGCCUCCAAUGCGGGAGACCCGGGUUCGAUCCCUGG